This 909-nucleotide long non-coding RNA is filed under the name Homo sapiens (human). Its description in RNAcentral is "non-protein coding lnc-SGCG-3:1". Lineage: Eukaryota; Metazoa; Chordata; Mammalia; Primates; Hominidae. The record is from RNAcentral.
GGAAAUAAAAGCUGCCUGCCCCCCACACCAUCAGCCAGCAGCAACAACCCGUUCUGAUACCCUUGCAAGCUGUGGAAGGUUUGUCCGUUGGCUCUUCACAAUAAACCUUGCUACUCAUCACUGUUUGGGUCCCUACCAUCUUUAAAAGCUGUAAUACUCACCUGCUAUCUUUAAGAGCUGUAACGCUUAUUGUGACGAUCCGGGACUCCAUUCUUGGAAGUCAGCAAGACCACAGCAGAAACCGACUCCAGACAGUUUCCUGUGCUCCAGAAGACUUUGAGGGAUCGAGAACUUUUGGUGCUUAGCAUGAUGUUUCAAGUAUUCAUGAAAUAUUUCGGGAAUGGAACUGAUAGUUACUGAAAAGAGAUGUCAGCGGAAGGGGAGUAAGCUGAAGUCAAAGGACCAAGGCUCUAAUUCUACCCCUGCCAAAACCCAAGGUACCCUAGGAAUCAAUCUUGGUCUGAGAGACUGCAUAUUAACAGGAGGCCAGGAAGGCAAGAACAGGGGUGUGCCAUCAUCUAGUCACCUCUGGAGCAGAGCUUUGCAAAGAGCAUUCCUCAGGAAGAUUCCUCAGAGGUCCUCUACAAUUCUCCAAAACCAGCAUAAUGUAGUUAGUAAGAAUAUGGAUUCCUGAAGUCAUAUCCCAGCUCUCUCACUCACUUCUCUGUAAAAUGAGGACAAUGAUGAUGAUAAUGAUGAUGAUUAGUACUCCUAGAGGUAUGAUGAGGAUAAAAUAAAAUAAUACAUGAAAACAAUUUUGAAUUGCGCUCAGCACCUGUAAAAGCAUUCAAAGGAAGUGAUUAUGCUACAUGUUACUUUUUUAUUUGUAUAAAAGUACCACAAAUGUAUUUUAUCCAGAUGAUAAACAUUUAGUUGAUUUCCAAUUUUUCACUUUAAUAAACAAUGUCA